GAUGAACGCUGGCGGCGUGCCUAAUACAUGCAAGUCGAGCGAACAGAUGAGGAGCUUGCUCCUCUGACGUUAGCGGCGGACGGGUGAGUAACACGUGGAUCACCUACCUAUAAGACUGGGAUAACUUCGGGAAACCGGAGCUAAUACCGGAUAAUAUAUUGAACCGCAUGGUUCAAUAGUGAAUGACGGUUUUGCUGUCACUUAUAGAUGGAUCCGCGCCGCAUUAGCUAGUUGGUAAGGUAACGGCUUACCAAGGCGACGAUGCGUAGCCGACCUGAGAGGGUGAUCGGCCACACUGGAACUGAGACACGGUCCAGACUCCUACGGGAGGCAGCAGUAGGGAAUCUUCCGCAAUGGGCGAAAGCCUGACGGAGCAACGCCGCGUGAGUGAUGAAGGUCUUCGGAUCGUAAAACUCUGUUAUUAGGGAAGAACAAAUGUGUAAGUAACUAUGCACGUCUUGACGGUACCUAAUCAGAAAGCCACGGCUAACUACGUG
Molecule: ribosomal RNA, 497 nt
Filed under: uncultured bacterium
Lineage: Bacteria
Description: partial 16S ribosomal RNA
Rfam family: Bacterial small subunit ribosomal RNA
Source: RNAcentral